GCCUUCGUGGUGUAGAUGUCUGCAUGCUCGACUUGUAACCGAGAGGUCCGAGGUUCGAUUCCCGGCGAAGGUG
RNAcentral lists this transfer RNA (73 nucleotides) under Stegodyphus mimosarum. It matches the Rfam family "tRNA". From Rfam's summary of the family: Transfer RNA (tRNA) molecules are approximately 80 nucleotides in length. Their secondary structure includes four short double-helical elements and three loops (D, anti-codon, and T loops). The record is from Rfam by way of RNAcentral. Lineage: Eukaryota; Metazoa; Arthropoda; Arachnida; Araneae; Eresidae.